AUUGAACGCUGGCGGCAGGCCUAACACAUGCAAGUCGAGCGGAUGAAGGGAGCUUGCUCCUGGAUUCAGCGGCGGACGGGUGAGUAAUGCCUAGGAAUCUGCCUGGUAGUGGGGGAUAACGUCCGGAAACGGGCGCUAAUACCGCAUACGUCCUGAGGGAGAAAGUGGGGGAUCUUCGGACCUCACGCUAUCAGAUGAGCCUAGGUCGGAUUAGCUAGUUGGUUGGGUAAAGGCCUACCAAGGCGACGAUCCGUAACUGGUCUGAGAGGAUGAUCAGUCACACUGGAACUGAGACACGGUCCAGACUCCUACGGGAGGCAGCAGUGGGGAAUAUUGGACAAUGGGUGAAAGCCUGAUCCAGCAAUGCCGCGUGUGUGAAGAAGGUCUUCGGAUUGUAAAGCACUUUAAGUUGGGAGGAAGGGCAGUAAGUUAAUACCUUGCUGUUUUGACGUUACCAACAGAAUAAGCACCGGCUAACUUCGUG
RNAcentral lists this ribosomal RNA (484 nucleotides) under uncultured bacterium. RNAcentral's name for it is "partial 16S ribosomal RNA". It matches the Rfam family "Bacterial small subunit ribosomal RNA", at positions 30 to 507 of the family's 1533-position model. The record is from RNAcentral.